GGGAGCCCCGGCGGGGGCCGGCCCGUCCCGCUGUGCCCGCGGACGGAGCGCGCUCCGGGGAUGGAUUCGCGAGGGAGGCUGAGGGACGUUUGCGGAGCAGCCACGGAGAGCUGGGGGCGGCGAGGCCUCGGAGCAGCAGCUCUACGGGCAUCUUCGUACGGGAGCGCCUCCACACCUGUAAGAUUUCCCUGAUCCCCCUGCUCCCGGCUGGCAUCCCCUUUGGGCGCUGUGGACAGAUGCAGCCCUUCAGAUCUACUAUCAAAAGAGUGGUUAAAUCACAGUUUGUACCAGCAUCCCAGACAGUUGUUUGUUUCCCAGGAAAGCUUACUCUACCUACCGCAGGCUUUUGGCAGCUGAAGAAGUUUGGGGAAGCAGAGUAUUUGCUGAUAAAACUCACAGCAGUGGCAAACUGCUGUUGUGAAGGACAAAGGUUUGAGAUCUGUUCUUGUUCUCUCAUCUCCUGCUGAGCUGGGAGCUGUUAAAGUAAGCUUCUGUAUUUAUGUUACAUGACUGGUAUGACUGCACACACUAGAAGGAAAUUAAGACUUCAAAAAGACAUUCCUCAUCAUGGAUGUUCAGGGGUUAUAUGUGUAUUUUUAUAGAAAAGGGUCUAAUUUGCUACUUGCUUACUUUGUUAAAAAUCAAAGAAAAGCGUAGAUGGAGUGUAAGGAGUUAAAUUGUGUUUGCUGAGGAAAAUCAGGCCUGUCCUGUGAAGUGUCCAGGUGUGCUAGUGUUCUGAAACAGGAAAAUUGUCUGGAUAUUAAACAUAUGGAAAUAUGUGUGAAUGCAGCUAUCCUGAGAGAUUGAAGUUGCCUGCACACCUUGAACCCUCCCAAAAAGCAUGUCUUUGAAACUGAGGAUGGUUGCAGAGUGGCCAGUGUGGACAGCCACAAACACUUGCACACCAGCACAGUCCAUGUGAACCACGGCAGGGGAGGCAAAGCCAGACCUGAAAAUCUAUCUCAUCAGGUUACCUAAUUGCCAUCACUGUGACAGCCCUCCUGCGAUCCUGGAGACACAGUUUGGACCCUCUGGAAAAUUAUUGCGACAUGUAACAAUAAUCUGAGAGAUGAGCUGUGAUUGCAGUGGAUUCCUCAGGACAGAGACAGGAUUUUGAAGUGGCUUGUUUUUCCCUAAUGCCUGCGAGCCUUGCUGCUUUUCUGUAUUGCAGGGUCUCUUGGUGGGUUUUUGGAGUGUCUGGGGGCACACUGUGUUUGUCUUUAGUUUUUUGACUGACUUGAGCUUUGAUCUCCCUAACUUACUAAAUCCCUCUAUAUUAUGAAUUCCCAUUGUAUAAGGUAUGGAAAAUCACACUUAACUGCUUCUAAGCAGGGCAGAUAAAAAGAUGAUUCAGUGAUAUGAAGGUAAAAUAUAAAAAAAUAUGUGAAAUGCAGAUUGAUGCUAUUCCCAGUGUGCAUGCUGCUGGGUUUGUGAUUUUUUUUUUCCUGUUUAAGUUCACUUAUAAGGUGAAACUGUACCUGAGAGGCCACCAAAAAGUGUAUUUGUUCAUAUUCAGAGUAGGGUGUCUGAAUGGGGCUUGUUCCGGGUUCCCUUUUGUACAGCUCCCUGCAGGAUGAACCCCAGGUCAGAGCAGGGAUACCCAGCUCUGCUGCUUGUAAACAUGACACGUGCACCCCGUGAUACAGAGUAGAAGGAAAUAUUCAUUGUGCAAUCUGCAGGCAGCAUAAUCACUGUGAUCGCACUAACAUGAUGACUUGUUUAAUUUAUUUUAAGGCUGACACGCUUGCCUUGUUUUGCUGUGUGGGCCAAUGAUGUUUUAUCAUCUCAUGUGAACCCUGGGAGAACCAGGCAAUGAUCUUUUUUUAAAUCCAAGUGUGUCAAAUGCAUAACUGAAUAUAACAUUGAGCUGCUUUACCCAGACAGAGGAGCGAGUCUCAUGUUCAGUCAGUGCAGAAUCUAUUUAGUGUAAUCCCCUUGCUGAGAACUUCCACUUACAGCACUUUCUGAGGAAGAGGCCCAAAGCUUUAUGACGUGUAACAAUAACCUGGGACAGCUUGGCCUGGAAACGUCUUUCUAAUCCCCACAUCUUUUUGUCAGCUACUUUAUGCACUAAAAAGUGAAACCAUGAAUUCAUCUUACACUGAUGGGACAGUCAUACAGGGGUUAUGACUGAGGCCCUUUGCCUGCAAACUGACCACAUGUUUAACCAAGAGAACAAAGUCCCAUGAACUGUCCUGCACAAGGAGAUUUAACGCCACUCUGAAGGCAGGAAGUUCCUUGGUAUCCACAGGUACAGACCCAAUGGUCUGCUCUGUUUUGCUGUUCAGCUGGUACAGAUGGAAUGUCCUUAUCAGCCCAUAAUGUUUUUUUUAAUGCUCUGAAAGAAGCACAGAGGAAGUAAACAGUGUGAGUCCUCCUGUAGGUGUCUGAGCAAUUCAAGCUGCAAAGUGACACCACCAAUAUCAGAAGAUCGUUAAUAGGUUGCAAGGAAGGGUGUUUACCUUCUAUUAAGUUUUUCAUCCUUCCUGCAUUACACAAGAGGUUAACAAGUUACUACACCCAGUCCAAGGCACUGUUAGGAGCCACGUUCCACAUGACAAUGUCUCUGGGAGGGAGCAGGACAGAUUAUUGUGACAAAGGAAGCAAAGUCAGGUCAGUGAGCCUGAGAAAGUCUGAACAUUUCUCAUGUACUCAACCAUACCCUGGCAGGCACGAAUAAACUGAAACUUUCCAGGACACCUAAAAGACAACAGGAUGCAGGACUUCUGGGUUUUGGUUUUUAACUCACUAGUACUGAGAUAUAUACACUAAAAUCUAGGCAUUUCAAGUAAUAUGGAUUAAGAAAUGAAGAGCAGUAAGAUAGCAGGUUGAUUUUUAUGAGAUACAGUCAUUUUUUAGUUCAGAACUUCUGUAAAACAAGGUAUGAUCUUUGUAGCCAGAUUGGUUUGAAAUUUCCCAAGCUGUAAUCUAGACAGUGCCAUCACAGCUUCAAGAUUAAAACCUACACCUUUUAACUGUAAGCAGCUUUCCCUUCUCAAUACAAAGAAUUACGGCUGAUUCCAAGAAUUGAGGAGACUGAGACACACUUAUUUCCCUAUCCCAGUGAUUUUCUGUAUGUGCCAUCUUUAGUUGUUCUAUUUAGUAAAAAUAAGCCAUCCUAAUUCAGAGCACAUAUUUUGAUAUUAAUAUACAAAACAGUAAUUUCAGUUGCAUAUAUGGGAGGCAGAGCCUUUUGCCUUGGAGGUAGGCAGACUGCAGGAGUAAUGCAGACGUACAAAGUAAGGGUAGUAAGAUGACUCCUGUCAUACAUGUCACAGGCAUUUAUCCUUUUCCAGUCCUCACACUGUCCAGCAAACUGGUUCUGUGGAUCAUGUUUACACAACCCAGCCAGUUCUCCUACCUAAGCAGCAAAUUGUAACCUCCACGCCCACGCCUGGCUAUCAGCAUCAAUACAGUGGGGCAGACUUCAAGGAAAACAUGCGUUAACCACAUCUGUAUAUAACAGUUCUGGGUUUAAAUUGGUUCAUUCUAGUUCAUGUUUUAUCUCAUUUUACAACUCCGUAGAGCAGGAGCUCUGUCUUACGUUUCUGGGAUGCUGAACGGGACACUGGGCAGGCCUGGGGUCUUUGGCUGGAGUUACCACAUCAGUACUGAUCACUGAGUGUUCCUGUGCGUGCCAAGGCAGGACAGGACAGCCCAGAAGAAGAUACUACUUCCCUUUUCAGAGGGGCAAAGGAGGGAUGCAGCUCUCAGCAGCAGUCUUUUUCACCAAACACUCUUUGGAGCUUUGCUGACUCCAGUACUUAACAACUCUCGGUUUUCCUGCUUUUUUAAGUGAGUAGGUUGGCUGCCAUUCACAGAGACCAAUUACCAUUUCAAGAGCAACUUUUUGGCACCAGAACUAUUUAUAUGGAAAAUGGCCUGUCACAGUUUAACCCAAGCUGAACCCAAGCCAGCAGCUGAGUCCCACGUAGCUGUUCACUCACAUCCACUGGGAUGGGGAAAGAAGGAAAGGGUUCUGCUGCUUUAUAGCUUGAUGGCAUUGGGGUACACUGUGCACAGGUAUCUCCUAGAGCCUUACACUCCUGUGGGUCUGUCUGCCAGGACAUCUGAUCCACACAGUCCUGGAAACUCAGCUGUCCCUCCCCUCCACCUGGCUGGAGGCAGGGCCCCUCCAGUACUGGUUUUAGGAUUCUCUACUUCUUGUAAAAACGGAUAAGAAUUUCUUUCCAUAGGAUCAGGAGUAAGAUUAGCCCUUCCUCUCUGUCUUGGAACUGCCCACUGGACACUGGAGCAGCAACUUUCCUGGAAGAACCUCCAUUAUGAUUGUUCCUCUCUGAUUCACAGCCAGCAAUUCUAUCAUAUCCUAAGCCAGUGUUACAAAGUACAACAGAAUCAACCUUAGCCCAGCCCCCAGAGGUGAUAAACAGCACAAAGGGAACACACACACCAAGUAAGGCAAUGACGCAAACCUGAGAACAAGAGCAACAACUCUGAGAACAAACAAAUCAACGCUGUGACCAGUGACUAUUAAAUUAAUAUCGUGAAUGCUUGCAAUAAAUUCGUUUUACACGCUGUGGUCA
Molecule: long non-coding RNA, 4544 nt
Organism: Myiozetetes cayanensis
Lineage: Eukaryota; Metazoa; Chordata; Aves; Passeriformes; Tyrannidae
Exons: 2
Source: RefSeq, a predicted model, not a curated record